Molecule: non-coding RNA, 152 nt
Filed under: Chlorobium ferrooxidans
Lineage: Bacteria; Pseudomonadati; Chlorobiota; Chlorobiia; Chlorobiales; Chlorobiaceae
Also listed under: 1 other name
Description: FMN sequence
Rfam family: FMN riboswitch aptamer (RFN element)
About the family: The RFN element is a highly conserved domain that is found frequently in the 5'-untranslated regions of prokaryotic mRNAs that encode for flavin mononucleotide (FMN) biosynthesis and transport proteins. This element is a metabolite-dependent riboswitch that directly binds FMN in the absence of proteins.
Source: RNAcentral
ACCUGUUCUCAGGGCGGGGUGAAAAUCCCCACCGGCGGUAUACCGGCUGUUAAUCCGGAAAGCCCGCGAGCGCUUUCGAUUAUUUCGAAAGGUCAGCAGAUUUGGUGAAACUCCAAAGCCGACGGUUAUAGUCCGGAUGAAAGAGGAUAGCG